This 299-nucleotide ribosomal RNA is filed under the name uncultured Lactobacillus sp. RNAcentral's name for it is "partial 16S ribosomal RNA". It matches the Rfam family "Bacterial small subunit ribosomal RNA", at positions 244 to 525 of the family's 1533-position model. The record is from RNAcentral. Lineage: Bacteria; Bacillati; Bacillota; Bacilli; Lactobacillales; Lactobacillaceae.
GCUAGUUGGUAAGGGCAACGGGCUUACCAAGGCAAUGAUGCAUAGCCGAGUUUGAGAGACUGAUCGGCCACAUUGGGACUGAGACACGGGCCCAAACUCCUACGGGAGGCAGCAGUAGGGGAAUCUUCCACAAUGGACACAAGUCUGAUGGAGCAAACGCCGCGUGAGUGAAGAAGGGUUUCGGCUCGUAAAGCUCUGUUGGUAGUGAAGAAAGAUAGAGGUAGUAACUGGCCUUUAUUUGACGGUAAUUACUUAGAAAAGUCACGGGCUAACUACGUGCCAGCAGCCGCGGGUAAAUA